RNAcentral lists this transfer RNA (116 nucleotides) under Trametes cinnabarina. RNAcentral's name for it is "Pycnoporus cinnabarinus tRNA". It matches the Rfam family "tRNA". Rfam says of the family: Transfer RNA (tRNA) molecules are approximately 80 nucleotides in length. Lineage: Eukaryota; Fungi; Basidiomycota; Agaricomycetes; Polyporales; Polyporaceae. The record is from Rfam by way of RNAcentral.
CCCUCGAUAGCUCAGUUGGAAGAGCGUGAGACUGUAAUAGGUAAACGCGUGCUCAGCUGUUGGGUCACGUGCCUUCGGGCAUCUCAAGGUCGCUGGUUCGAUCCCGGCUCGAGGGA